Molecule: non-coding RNA, 436 nt
Organism: Meleagris gallopavo (turkey)
Lineage: Eukaryota; Metazoa; Chordata; Aves; Galliformes; Phasianidae
Source: RefSeq, a predicted model, not a curated record
CAGCACAGGAGCGGUGCUGCAGCCAACCUCGGCACGGAGACGGCACUUUCCAUCUGCCGCCUGGCUCCCGCCUGGCAGCGGUAGCGGUGCCGGGAAGCGGCAGGUGCAGAGUGUGACCCGCUUUUCCUUUGCCUUCCAGAGCGAGUCGCCGUCUGGGAUGCGGUGGCCGCCUACGUACGGGAGCAGCUCCUGGGGCAGAAGGGGGUCUGGAUUCCUACCUUCGGCUCCUUUGACACCGUCUCCAAGGACGUCCGGACUGAGGAUGGGACCGUGACUCUGCGGUGGCCGGUCUUUCACCUGGCCUCAAACCUCAUAGCCACGCACCACCUCAAGCCCCGCAGGGAGUCCCUGCCAGUCCAUAGGAAGGUGGAGCCCCUGAAAUACAGCAAGGCGGCCGCAGCUGCCUCUCUGAGCUGGCAGACCCUCAGGACCGGCA